CCUACGGGUGGCAGCAGUGAGGAAUAUUGGUCAAUGGACGGAAGUCUGAACCAGCCAUGCCGCGUGCAGGAAGACGGCUCUAUGAGUUGUAAACUGCUUUUGUACAAGGGUAAACCUGAAUACGUGUAUUCAGCUGAAAGUACUGUACGAAUAAGGAUCGGCUAACUCCGUGCCAGCAGCCGCGGUAAUACGGAGGAUCCAAGCGUUAUCCGGAUUUAUUGGGUUUAAAGGGUGCGUAGGCGGAUUGAUAAGUUAGAGGUGAAAUGUUCGAGCUUAACUCGGGAACUGCCUCUAAUACUGUUGGUCUAGAGAGUAGUUGCGGUAGGCGGAAUGUAUGGUGUAGCGGUGAAAUGCUUAGAGAUCAUACAGAACACCGAUUGCGAAGGCAGCUUACCAAUCUAUAUCUGACGUUGAGGCACGAAAGCGUGGGGAGCAAACAGGAUUAGAUACCCGGGUAGUC
Molecule: ribosomal RNA, 460 nt
Filed under: uncultured bacterium
Lineage: Bacteria
Description: partial 16S ribosomal RNA
Rfam family: Bacterial small subunit ribosomal RNA
Source: RNAcentral